GAUGAACUGAGAUGAGGUUUGGGGUUGGUAGUUAACAGACAGGAUGAACUGAGAUGAGGUUUGGGGUUGGUAGUUAACAGACUGGAUGAACUGAGAUGAGGUUGGUAGUUAACAGACAGGAUGAACUGAGAUGAGGUUUGGGGUUGGUAGUUAACAGACUGGAUGAACUGACAUGAGGUUUGGGGUUGGUAGUUAACAGACUGGAUGACCUGACAUGAGGUUUGGGGUUGGUAGUUAACAGACUGGAUGAACUGAGAUGAGGUUGGUAGUUAACAGACAGGAUGAACUGACAUGAGGUUUGGGGUUGGUAGUUAACACAGUAAUAUAGUAGUUUUAAAGACACCGCUGCCCCACAUCCUCACAGAAAAUAUAUGAAGCCCGCACAGACAGUAAACUCUUUAGAAC
Oncorhynchus tshawytscha (Chinook salmon) is the source of this 405-nucleotide long non-coding RNA. The record is from Ensembl. NCBI's taxonomy places the organism in Eukaryota, Metazoa, Chordata, Actinopteri, Salmoniformes, Salmonidae.